RNAcentral lists this ribosomal RNA (253 nucleotides) under uncultured bacterium. RNAcentral's name for it is "partial 16S ribosomal RNA". It matches the Rfam family "Bacterial small subunit ribosomal RNA", at positions 524 to 776 of the family's 1533-position model. The record is from RNAcentral.
UACGGAGGGUGCAAGCGUUGUCCGGAUUUAUUGGGUUUAAAGGGUGCGUAGGCGGCCUGGUAAGUCGGCGGUGAAAGCCCGGGGCUCAACCCCGGAACUGCAUUCGAUACUGCCGUGCUUGAGGACUGGAGAGGAGACUGGAAUUUACGGUGUAGCGGUGAAAUGCGUAGAUAUCGUAAGGAAGACCAGUGGCGAAGGCGGGUCUCUGGACAGUUCCUGACGCUGAGGCACGAAGGUCAGGGGAGCAAACGGG